CAAUAGCGUAUAUUAAAGUUGUUGCAGUUAAAAAGCUCGUAGUUGGAUUUCGGGGUGGCCUGGCUGGUCCGCCGCAAGGUGAGUACUGGUCAGCCGCCCUUACUCUCGAAAGCCCCGACUGCUCUUUACUGCAGUGGUCGGGUAGUUCGGGACGUUUACUUUGAAAAAAUUAGAGUGUUCAAGGCAGGCUAUCGCCUGAAUACAUUAGCAUGGAAUAAUGGAAGAGGACCUCGGUCCUAUUUUGUUGGUUUCUAGGGCCGAAGUAAUGAUUAAGAGGGACAGUUGGGGGCAUUCGUAUUUAAUUGUCAGAGGUGAAAUUCUUGGAUUUAUGAAAGACGAACUAGUGCGAAAGCAUUUGCCAAGGAUGUUUUCAUUAA
This 377-nucleotide ribosomal RNA is filed under the name uncultured eukaryote. Its description in RNAcentral is "partial 18S ribosomal RNA". It matches the Rfam family "Eukaryotic small subunit ribosomal RNA", at positions 592 to 976 of the family's 1831-position model. The record is from RNAcentral.